UUCUCACGAGAUCUCAUGGUUUUAUAAAUGGCGGUUUCGGCUUUUUGGUCUUUCCUGCUGCCUUGUGAAGAAGGUGCUUGUUUCUUCUUUGCCUUCUGCCAUGAUUGCCAUGUGAAUCGCACCCCUGGAACUGUGCAGGGCCCACCUGUGUGGCCACACGCAGUGACCCUGAGCAAAGGAGUGACCACAGAAGUGCAUGGCAAAGCAGAAAGGUGUGACGUCUUGGAGGACGCGGGAGGAAAGCACGCCCAGCGGACAGGAGCCAUCACGCGGCUGCGGGCUGCUGCUGAGAACCUGGCGUGGGCCACCGUCGUCAGCAGCGUGGAGGAACGCAUAUGCUGCCUCCUUUCUGAUAGGGAGACCCACCCACCUGUUCACCUCUCUGCAUGUGGUCUGCGAGCGGGCUUGGAGCCACAUCUGAAGCCUCACCUCUAGGAGCCAGUUUUGUCUCCUCCUCGUCCCUGCUUCUUAUCAGUCGUGCGGCUGGAUGGCAGAGGUGAUAAAGCUGGGAAGAGAGGCAUCCUGGAAGGGCCCGUGUUAUGAAAACCCAGAGUUUCACUCAGAUCGACAGCUGCGUGGGGGCCGGCGCUCCCGGCAGUGAUUGAGUUACCCUCAGCAGCGGGGUCCCGAGGUCGCAAUCCCUGCUGGGGGAGUGAUUGAUGCCGGACUCCAGGGCCCACCUUGGGUGACCCUGGGAUGUCAAUGAGUGACCGCUGAUUCUGGGCCACUUGGUUCUGGGCCACCCGCAUGUCCAGAGACCUCAAGGUGGGCCGACGUCCAACCAGCGAAGCAGAGCAAUCCUUUUGGAAGCUUCUCUCCACGGGGGGCUGGCUGCUCCUUCAUCACUCCCAUCUGAGGGCUUCUGCUUGCAGCCGUCUGUCACGCUGAGCAGCUCUGUGGUGGAUUCUGUGCUGCUUGCUCUGUGUCUAUUUUGUCAAGAUCGCCAGUCUCUCUGGAUUCUCUCCUCUGGGUUGGCCCACGCUCACUCAUCCGGCUUUGGAAGGACAUUUAUCCUCUAGCUUCCUCCAGGAGGGGGAUUUGUCUUAGAGAGUGGCACUUUCUCUUCCCUCCCCAGCCCCUCGUGCACCUUCUGCAGGGAGGGGAGUCCCCUGGUGCUGAGAGGAGAGGUAGGAGAGCCAGGUAGGGCCUGUGGGAGCCCAGCAGAGGUGCCCUGGCCACCUUGAGUGUCUGAGACUCACGGUCUAUUAAAAAUGGAAAAACAAACUGGGCACCGUGGCUCCUACCUGUAAUUCCAGCACUUUGGGAGGCUGAGGCGGGUGGAUCACUUGAGGUCAGGAGUUCAAGACCAGCCUGACCAAUGUGGUGAAACCUUGUCUCUACUAAAAAUACAAAAGUUAGCUGGGUUUGGUGGUACACACCUGUAAUCCCAGCUACUUGGGAGGCAGAGGCAGGAGAAUCGCUUGGACCUGGAAGGUGGAAGUUGCAGUGAGCAGAGAUUGUGCCACUGCACUCCAGCCUGGGUGACAGAGUGAGACUCUUGUCUCAAAAAAAAAAAACAAACAGAAAAAGAAAAAAGAAAAAAAGGAAAAACAACAAAGUUAGCGCUGAGCAGGGUUUCAGGAUUCUAGACCUGGUUUAAAAUGCAUUGCAUGGAAUAACCUGUUUAAUCUGCAAGUUAACUCUCUGAUACAGCGAGUGGUAUUAUCACAAUUUUGACAAGAUAAAGGCACAAAACAAGAUUUAAGAUUUUUUUUUUAAAAAAGGACAGACACCCAUUAAUUCUAAAUAAUUAAAGAUCAAUUCAUUAUGUACACAUACCGUUGACCCCUGAACAGCGUGGGUUUGUACUGGCUGGGUCCGUUUAUAUGUGGAUUUUCCUCUGCCUCUGCCACCCCUGAGACAGCAAGACCAACCCCUCCUCUUCCUUUUCCUCCUCCUCAGGUUCCUCAAUGUGAAGACGACAACGAUGAAGAUCUUUAUGGCUGGGUUCAGUUUUGGUGUCUCAACACCCGUAAUCUUAGCACUUUGGGAGGCCAAGGUGGAUGGAUGGCUUGAGCCCAAGAGUUUGAGACCAGCUUGAGCAAUGUAGUGAAACCCUAUCUCUACAAAAAACUAGCAGGGCGUGUGCCUGUAGUCCCAGUUACUCGGGAGGCUGAGGUGGGAGGACCUGAGCCCAGGGAGAUUGAGGCUGCAGUGAGCCCUGAUUGCGCCACUGCACUCCAGCCUGGGAGUGCGGUCUCAAAGAAAACCCAGUCUCAAGAAACAAAACAAAACAACCCAAAAAAGAUCUUAAGAUGAUCCACUUCUGCUUAAUGAUCAGUGAAUAUUUUUCCUUAUGAUUUUCUUAAUAACAUUUUCUUUUCUCUAGCUUACUUUAUUGUAAGAAUAUAGUAUAUACUUAUAAAACAGAUAAAA
Molecule: long non-coding RNA, 2376 nt
Filed under: Homo sapiens (human)
Lineage: Eukaryota; Metazoa; Chordata; Mammalia; Primates; Hominidae
Description: long independently transcribed non-coding RNA 2780, transcript variant 4 (LINC02780)
Source: RNAcentral